RNAcentral lists this transfer RNA (72 nucleotides) under Saccoglossus kowalevskii. RNAcentral describes it as "tRNA-Glu". It matches the Rfam family "tRNA". From Rfam's summary of the family: Transfer RNA (tRNA) molecules are approximately 80 nucleotides in length. Their secondary structure includes four short double-helical elements and three loops (D, anti-codon, and T loops). Further hydrogen bonds mediate the characteristic L-shaped molecular structure. tRNAs have two regions of fundamental functional importance: the anti-codon, which is responsible for specific mRNA codon recognition, and the 3' end, to which the tRNAs corresponding amino acid is attached (by aminoacyl-tRNA synthetases). tRNAs cope with the degeneracy of the genetic code in two manners: having more than one tRNA (with a specific anti-codon) for a particular amino acid; and 'wobble' base-pairing, i.e. permitting non-standard base-pairing at the 3rd anti-codon position. Lineage: Eukaryota; Metazoa; Hemichordata; Enteropneusta; Harrimaniidae. The record is from RNAcentral.
ACCCAUAUGGUCUAGUGGUUAGGAUUUGGCGCUUUCACCGCCGAGGCCCGGGUUCAAUUCCUGGUGUGGGAA